This 301-nucleotide ribosomal RNA is filed under the name uncultured bacterium. RNAcentral describes it as "partial 16S ribosomal RNA". It matches the Rfam family "Bacterial small subunit ribosomal RNA", at positions 509 to 809 of the family's 1533-position model. The record is from RNAcentral.
CAGUCGCCGCGGUAAUACGUAGGUGGCAAGCGUUGUCCGGAAUUAUUGGGCGUAAAGGGCUCGCAGGCGGUUUCUUAAGUCUGAUGUGAAAGCCCCCGGCUCAACCGGGGAGGGUCAUUGGAAACUGGGAAACUUGAGUGCGGAAGAGGAGAGUGGAAUUCCACGUGUAGCGGUGAAAUGCGUAGAGAUGUGGAGGAACACCAGUGGCGAAGGCGACUCUCUGGUCUGUAACUGACGCUGAGGAGCGAAAGCGUGGGGAGCGAACAGGAUUAGAUACCCGCGUAGUCCCUGUCUCUUAUAU